This 239-nucleotide long non-coding RNA is filed under the name Carica papaya (papaya). Its description in RNAcentral is "long non-coding RNA (CPAP_LNC011757)". Lineage: Eukaryota; Viridiplantae; Streptophyta; Magnoliopsida; Brassicales; Caricaceae. The record is from RNAcentral.
GGGGGGCCACGUCAGCAGCCGCGUCAGCAGCCACGUCAGCAGUCCCGGCCAACCAGGGCCUGACACGUGGCAAGAUCGCGUCACUCCGAAAGGAGCCACGUUGGCGAUCCGCGUGGGUGCGAUCCGACGGCCCAGAUCAAUCACGCGAUCGGACGGCCCAGAUUCAAUCGCACGGACGGCCCAGAUUCAAUCAAAAACGAACGGCCCAGAUUAAAACAAAAUGAACGGCUGUGAUCAAA